Malania oleifera is the source of this 108-nucleotide small nucleolar RNA. Lineage: Eukaryota; Viridiplantae; Streptophyta; Magnoliopsida; Santalales; Ximeniaceae. The record is from RefSeq and is a predicted model, not a curated record.
AAUCCGUGGUGUGCACAUAUGUUCAUUAGGUCUUUGAAUCUCUCCCAGAAUUCCUAAAAUGUCUCGUCACCUUUUUGCAUAAACUGACUGAUUUGCUUUUGUAAGUAU